Cavia porcellus (domestic guinea pig) is the source of this 2753-nucleotide long non-coding RNA. RefSeq lists it as uncharacterized. Lineage: Eukaryota; Metazoa; Chordata; Mammalia; Rodentia; Caviidae. The record is from RefSeq and is a predicted model, not a curated record. The transcript has 3 exons.
UGCUUUAAUCCAUUUGCAGCCUAGUACAGGGAACAUUUGUCUUCUCAAAUGCUGUUAGAGGCAAGCGCACUGGCUGUCAGUGACACAAGAGCUACUUCAGGGCAGUGAUAGUACUGGAGAAACCUCACCCCUACCGAAAUGCUUUUAAGAAGAUUUUUAUAGGAGAGAAAAGAUUGAACUGCACUUCACAAGAUAGAGUCUCUUCAUCUUCUGAUUUCUGGUGGCAUUCAUGGCCUGCUCUCCCAUUACCACGCCAGAUCUAGUGGUACAGUACAGUUAAUACAGCAUGAAUACUUUUUGCUAACUAAAUGGUAAGUGACUCAUUCAAAAUGUAUAUACUGGGUAUCUACUAGUGGGCGGGGCACUCCCUUGGAAGUCAAUUGAGUAAGACCUUCUUCUAUCUUCAAAAAGCAAAACCUCCAAGCUACAUAAAAUAAUUCAUAUGGAAAUAUUGAAGUACUUGCUUCCUACAUGUGCUGUACAGCACAGGGAGUAAUUGAGUGUCCCCAACCUGCUGGUACCUCCAAGGUUUACCUAUUUCCAGUUCUUAGCAUGAGGCCAGGCACUCAGUCAACACUUAAUACAAGUUCAAGCAAGGAGAAGCAGGCCCUCCAGAAAGCACAAAGUACAUAUCCAAUAACAUUCUGUCACUGAAGGUUUGGGACAAAGGCCGCAGUGAAUCUCACUAAUGGCCAGAGAGUGCACAGGAGAGGUAACACAGUUCCCAAUGGAGGUGACAGGAGAAGAUUUUCAUGGAGCACAGGCAUUUGAGCUGAGCUUGGAAGCAGAAUUUUGACAAGUAGGAAGCCACAGAGAUGGGGAGGAUGUCCAGGUGGACAGGAGAAGGAUGAUGUGAUUCUACUGAGUGUGUGGCUGCCAGAAGACAGGCCUUCCGCAGCUGCAGCUCUGGACGUCUCCGUGGCCCCAUCUGCUCCUUACUGUUAUUGAUUUCAAAGGUUAAAGAGCUGCCGUGGUAAGCGAAGUGCAGGUCCUUGCACUCCUCGGAAAAGCACUCCAAUCCAGAUGUAAAAGGGUUUGAAGAGUUUAAUAUCCCACAACCCAUCUCUGUUGUGUAUAAAACAGAGGCGGAAAAAUUUUUCUUUCACGUUAAGAGAGGCAGACCACAAAGACCGCUCGGGUAAUGACCAAUCACACCCACCUCAUGGACGCUGGUCUAAAAACAUGAACAAACUUCAAGCUGCAUAAGAGUGGAGGCCAUUCAACACACAAAGGACCUCACUGCUACAAUGGAAACAUGGCCUUCAUGAGGGCAGGUGGACUUAAGGAUUUGGUCUAAUCCAAGUUUGGAUCCUGAGUAAGUUGCCUCUCAGCGGAAGUCCCAAUUGUCCAGGAAAUCUGGGAAGAUGGUGGCUACAGGAGAGAGAAUAGGCUUCCUCUAAAAAUCCUAACAUUAAGCAAUGGGCUUGAGCUAUACACACAGCAGAAGGUUCCGACAGCAAAGGAAACACCAGUGUCCACCCUGUGUUCACAUGCCUGACUCCCAAGAAAGGGUCCACAUGCAGAGAUCAGCUACUGAGUCUGAUAUCCUAAAUCUCCUAGAUUAUACACACAAUCUCCUAGAUUAUAUAGAUUAGAAGCAGCAGGCAGUUAAAACAAAGAAAAAGAAUAAUCAUUUUCAAAUGCAAACAUAUUUAAAAACUCAGUAACAGUCCAGGAGCACUGAGAGGAACUAAUAGCUUUACCAGCUUCAAUCGCUCUUGCGUCACUGCCACCCCCAAGGAUACUAAAAUAAUUUAUUACAAGUGGAAGAAAGAAAUAUGGCUUGGUAGCAGAACAUAUAAAAGAGAUUUAGGAAUUCUGGUUCAUGCAAAGUUCGCUGUGAAUUAAGUGUGUGGCGCCUACCAGCAGCUUGUGCCAUCUAAGGACGUGUGCUGUAGCUACAGUCGCCUGAGGACGUGAGGGUGGAGGUCUUUUCUCCUUACCCGGUUCUGGCAGACCAGAUUACUUCUGGACUCCUUGUUAUGAGAAAGAAGAGUAAGUAUGUAUGCAGAGGAAGGCCACUCUGAGAAGACCUAAAAACGCAGAAUACGAGAAAGAUCCUUUUCCUAAAAUGAGAGGACAGAGAGAGUAGGCAAUAACACAUCAACCCAAAGCUAGGACUGAGUUAGAACUGCUCCUGCUAAGGCAGGUGGGGGACCUAGUGGCCCUCACAGGCAUCCCUGAGAUUACAGAUCCCCAGGGCAUGACACCGACAAACACACUUGUGCUGCAGGUAGUGGUCCCCGCAAGGGUUACUGGUGAUCUGACCACAUUUAUAUAGUGGCCCCAGUUCAGUCUCAGCAGCUCUGCCUCCUCUUCAGUCCUGCUUUACCAACCAGAGAAAGCCAGAAUGUGGUGAUGGUAUGCACGUGAUAAACAAGACUUGGGGAAUGCAGACACUUUAUAUUUGGUUUGCACAGUCUCCCUUCCCAUCCCCUGGUUGAAGCCUGUUUAAAAUAUGAAUGGACUUGACACUCUUAUUUCUUUUUCUUUUUUGACACAGAGUCUCACUAUGUAUGUAGUCCAGGCUGGCCUCGAAUUCAUGACGAUCUUUCUGCCUCAGCCUUCCAGUGCUGGGAUUAUAGGCGUGUGUCAUUAUGCUUGACCUAUUUCCAAUUUCUUGAGACAACUAGAAUUCUGGCAGCCUAGGGCCUGCAUCAUGUACGGUGACGAUGGACUAGAAAUGAAGGCAGCUUCCUCUUUUGGUUCUUGCCCUCUGUAAGUAACAUGACAACCUUUUGAACAAGUAAAAA